UUUUCAUGUAUAAACCUAUCAUAAUAAUUUUAAAAAUUGAUGCAAUGAUGAAUAUGAGAAAGAAUGAUUUGAACUUGAAACUAAUACUCUGUCUGUGGUCGGUUGUUUUUUUUUCUCUCUCUCCUCUCUCUUUCUCUCGGUAUGAUAUAUGAAUGAAGUAUAAAAAACUAACGAUUCAAUAAUAAUAUCAUUAUCAAUUAACCAAAUGGAACCACAAAUACCGAAAGUAUCUCAUUGGACAUCAAUCGAACACCACCUACAAUAAAUUGUACAAUAAUGAGAAAUGCAACACCGAAUCCAUUACGUUCGUUUGUGGAAUUUAACCGGACAACAACAACAACAA
This is a long non-coding RNA of Dermatophagoides farinae (American house dust mite), 343 nucleotides long. RefSeq lists it as uncharacterized. The record is from RefSeq and is a predicted model, not a curated record. NCBI's taxonomy places the organism in Eukaryota, Metazoa, Arthropoda, Arachnida, Sarcoptiformes, Pyroglyphidae.